Molecule: long non-coding RNA, 465 nt
Filed under: Felis catus (domestic cat)
Lineage: Eukaryota; Metazoa; Chordata; Mammalia; Carnivora; Felidae
Description: lncRNA (ENSFCAG00000051839.1)
Source: RNAcentral
AUGGAGAAGAACGUUUGGGCUGCUUCUCUCUGUGGAGACUCAUCUGACCAAAGCCCAAUUUGAUGAACGUUAAGGGCUGUAGGAUCCACUCUUCCAACUAGGUCCGCCCUGCUCUGAAGACCCACCUUCUUUUGGCUGGAAAAUGAAUCUGCGAACAUCUUUGAGAAGGAGUUACUGAACACUGUGCAAACGACAGACAGCACUAAAGUUCCCAUUAGCUACCAGAAGAAAACUCAAAGUUCAUUAACGAGUAGCUGAUUGUCUUUAUCGCACGGAGGCUUACGUCUUAACACCCAAGAAGGAAGGAGUGAAAUCUGCCUCAGUACUUCCAUGGAAUUCCUUCUCGAAGUUUGAUUCAAUUCCUGUUCAUGUGUAAGACAUAAGCCUUAUGCCAUGAAAUUCCCAUUUUAACUGGUUGUCGGCUGUAAGUUAAUAUGCAGACUUAUUUCGCUUCUCCCCCUCCAC